Eleginops maclovinus (Patagonian blennie) is the source of this 72-nucleotide small nucleolar RNA. RefSeq annotates it as small nucleolar RNA SNORD19. The record is from RefSeq and is a predicted model, not a curated record. The transcript has a single exon. NCBI's taxonomy places the organism in Eukaryota, Metazoa, Chordata, Actinopteri, Perciformes, Eleginopidae.
UGGAAAUGAGGACAAAAACGCAAGUCUGAAUAAUAUGAAGACUUCUAAUCCAACGCUGAUCCCAACACUGUC